CGAAAGUGGUUCGGGGCCUUGUAACACCGACUGAGGCCUAAGCUUGCAAGACCGGGAUGGUCCGGGAAACCUGAACUAAUACCGGAUAGUUCCUUGAACCGCAUGGUUCAAGGAUGAAAGACGGUUUCGGCUGUCACUUACAGAUGGACCCGCGGCGCAUUAGCUAGUUGGUGAGGUAACGGCUCACCAAGGCGACGAUGCGUAGCCGACCUGAGAGGGUGAUCGGCCACACUGGGACUGAGACACGGCCCAGACUCCUACGGGAGGCAGCAGUAGGGAAUCUUCCGCAAUGGACGAAAGUCUGACGGAGCAACGCCGCGUGAGUGAUGAAGGUUUUCGGAUCGUAAAGCUCUGUUGUUAGGGAAGAACAAGUGCAAGAGUAACUGCUUGCACCUUGACGGUACCUAACCAGAAAGCCACGGCUAACUACGUGCCAGCAGCCGCGGUAAUACGUAGGUGGCAAGCGUUGUCCGGAAUUAUUGGGCGUAAAGGGCUCGCAGGCGGUUUCUUAAGUCUGAUGUGAAAGCCCCCGGCUCAACCGGGGAGGGUCAUUGGAAACUGGGAAACUUGAGUGCAGAAGAGGAGAGUGGAAUUCCACGUGUAGCGGUGAAAUGCGUAGAGAUGUGGAGGAACACCAGUGGCGAAGGCGACUCUCUGGUCUGUAACUGACGCUGAGGAGCGAAAGCGUGGGGAGCGAACAGGAUUAGAUACCCUGGUAGUCCACGCCGUAAACGAUGAGUGCUAAGUGUUAGGGGGUUUCCGCCCCUUAGUGCUGCAGCUAACGCAUUAAGCACUCCGCCUGGGGAGUACGGUCGCAAGACUGAAACUCAAAGGAAUUGACGGGGGCCCGCACAAGCGGUGGAGCAUGUGGUUUAAUUCGAAGCAACGCGAAGAACCUUACCAGGUCUUGACAUCCUCUGACAACCCUAGAGAUAGGGCUUUCCCUUCGGGGACAGAGUGACAGGUGGUGCAUGGUUGUCGUCAGCUCGUGUCGUGAGAUGUUGGGUUAAGUCCCGCAACGAGCGCAACCCUUGAUCUUAGUUGCCAGCAUUCAGUUGGGCACUCUAAGGUGACUGCCGGUGACAAACCGGAGGAAGGUGGGGAUGACGUCAAAUCAUCAUGCCCCUUAUGACCUGGGCUACACACGUGCUACAAUGGACAGAACAAAGGGCUGCGAGACCGCAAGGUUUAGCCAAUCCCACAAAUCUGUUCUCAGUUCCCAUGGGCUGUGUACACACCGAAUCAGGCCUAACACAUGCAAAGUCCACUGAGGGAGUGUU
Molecule: ribosomal RNA, 1280 nt
Filed under: Bacillus sp. RM:35
Lineage: Bacteria; Bacillati; Bacillota; Bacilli; Caryophanales; Bacillaceae
Description: bacterial SSU rRNA
Rfam family: Bacterial small subunit ribosomal RNA
Source: RNAcentral